UAGAGUUUGAUCCAUGGCUCAGGACGAACGCUGGCGGCGUGCUUAACACAUGCAAGUCGAACGGUAAGGCCCUUCGGGGUACACGAGUGGCGAACGGGUGAGUAACACGUGGGUGAUCUGCCCUGCACUUUGGGAUAAGCCUGGGAAACUGGGUCUAAUACCGAAUACACCCUGCUGGUCGCAUGGCCUGGUGGGGGAAAGCUUUUGCGGUGUGGGAUGGGCCCGCGGCCUAUCAGCUUGUUGGUGGGGUGAUGGCCUACCAAGGCGACGACGGGUAGCCGGCCUGAGAGGGUGACCGGCCACACUGGGACUGAGAUACGGCCCAGACUCCUACGGGAGGCAGCAGUGGGGAAUAUUGCACAAUGGGCGCAAGCCUGAUGCAGCGACGCCGCGUGAGGGAUGACGGCCUUCGGGUUGUAAACCUCUUUCAAUAGGGACGAAGCGCAAGUGACGGUACC
This 458-nucleotide ribosomal RNA is filed under the name Mycobacterium sp. HCS-7025. RNAcentral's name for it is "bacterial SSU rRNA". It matches the Rfam family "Bacterial small subunit ribosomal RNA", at positions 1 to 479 of the family's 1533-position model. The record is from RNAcentral. Lineage: Bacteria; Bacillati; Actinomycetota; Actinomycetes; Mycobacteriales; Mycobacteriaceae.